AGCCUGGUGGUGGAUGGUCCGCACCCACAUCUAAUAGAUAGGGUUGUGAUGUGCAAGUGGGGUCCCUCGUUCGAUUCAGGGUCAGGCUA
Non-coding RNA from Mycena vulgaris, 89 nucleotides. Lineage: Eukaryota; Fungi; Basidiomycota; Agaricomycetes; Agaricales; Mycenaceae. The record is from the annotation of a GenBank genome assembly.